RNAcentral lists this non-coding RNA (182 nucleotides) under Streptococcus pneumoniae. The record is from RNAcentral. Lineage: Bacteria; Bacillati; Bacillota; Bacilli; Lactobacillales; Streptococcaceae.
GGAAAUAAGAAUCGUCAGAGGAAGGGAUAGCGAACUCGUGGCUCUACGAACAGGAACGUGAUAGUAAGGCGUAUAUAGCGGAUAAGGGGGCCUCAAACUCUAAAGUUCAAAAAGGUAGUCGUAACCUAUAUGCGUAAAUCACGAGAGCAACUGAAUUUGUCCAUUCGAGGAUGGAUAAACUA